This 254-nucleotide ribosomal RNA is filed under the name uncultured bacterium. Its description in RNAcentral is "partial 16S ribosomal RNA". It matches the Rfam family "Bacterial small subunit ribosomal RNA", at positions 524 to 776 of the family's 1533-position model. The record is from RNAcentral.
UACGGGGGGAGCAAGCGUUGUUCGGAUUUACUGGGCGUAAAGGGCGCGUAGGCGGCCUCUGCAAGUCGACUGUGAAAUCUCCGGGCUUAACCCGGAAAGGUCAGCCGAUACUGCAGGGCUAGAGUGCAGAAGGGGCAACUGGAAUUCUCGGUGUAGCGGUGAAAUGCGUAGAUAUCGAGAGGAACACCUGCAGCGAAGGCGGGUUGCUGGGCUGACACUGACGCUGAGGCGCGAAAGCUAGGGGAGCGAACGGG